AAUCACUCAUGAUUAUGCUGAACGCAAGCCGUUUUCAUGACUUUUUAAGUCAUGUUCACAAUGUUGUGGGAAAUGUGCAACAGCAACGUGCGGGUGCGUGCGUCGGAGCGCGCUUUUGCCCCUCUCCUCGGGUUAACCCGAGGACUAACCCUCUCCCCGCGAGCGGGGCGAGGGAACGAGUGCGAGGCUGCCGCGACUUCCCCUUCGCCCCGCCUGCGGGGAGAAGGUGGCC
This 232-nucleotide small RNA is filed under the name Sinorhizobium meliloti 2011. Its description in RNAcentral is "putative ncRNA". The record is from RNAcentral. Lineage: Bacteria; Pseudomonadati; Pseudomonadota; Alphaproteobacteria; Hyphomicrobiales; Rhizobiaceae.